AUUGAACGCUGGCGGCAGGCUUAACACAUGCAAGUCGAGCGGGGUGAUGGUGCUUGCACUAUCACUUAGUGGCUGACGGGUGAGUAAUGCUUAGGAAUCUGCCUAUUAGUUGGGGACAACAUCUCGAAAGGGAUGCUAAUACCGCAUACGUCCUACGCGAGAAAGCAGGGGAUCACGUGUGACAUUGCGCUAAUAGAUGAGCCUAAUUCGUAUUAGCUAGUUGGUGGGGUAAAGGCCUACCAAGGCGACGAUCUGUAGCGGGUCUGAGAGGAUGAUCCGCCACACUGGGACUGAGACACGGCCCAGACUCCUACGGGAGGCAGCAGUGGGGAAUAUUGGACAAUGGGGGGAACCCUGAUCCAGCCAUGCCGCGUGUGUGAAGAAGGCCUUAUGGUUGUAAAGCACUUUAAGCGAGGAGGAGGCUCUUUUGGUUAAUACCCAAGAUGAGUGGACGUUACUCGCAGAAUAAGCACCGGCUAACUCUGUGCCAGCCGCCGCCGUAA
RNAcentral lists this ribosomal RNA (503 nucleotides) under uncultured bacterium. RNAcentral describes it as "partial 16S ribosomal RNA". It matches the Rfam family "Bacterial small subunit ribosomal RNA", at positions 30 to 523 of the family's 1533-position model. The record is from RNAcentral.